This 253-nucleotide ribosomal RNA is filed under the name uncultured bacterium. Its description in RNAcentral is "partial 16S ribosomal RNA". It matches the Rfam family "Bacterial small subunit ribosomal RNA", at positions 524 to 776 of the family's 1533-position model. The record is from RNAcentral.
UACGUAGGUGGCAAGCGUUGUCCGGAAUUAUUGGGCGUAAAGCGCGCGCAGGCGGUCCUUUAAGUCUGAUGUGAAAGCCCACGGCUCAACCGUGGAGGGUCAUUGGAAACUGGGGGACUUGAGUGCAGAAGAGGAAAGCGGAAUUCCACGUGUAGCGGUGAAAUGCGUAGAGAUGUGGAGGAACACCAGUGGCGAAGGCGGCUUCCUGGACCGAUACUGACGCUGAGGCGCGAAAGCUAGGGGAGCAAACGGG